Molecule: ribosomal RNA, 706 nt
Filed under: Salmonella enterica subsp. enterica serovar Infantis
Lineage: Bacteria; Pseudomonadati; Pseudomonadota; Gammaproteobacteria; Enterobacterales; Enterobacteriaceae
Description: partial 23S ribosomal RNA
Rfam family: Bacterial large subunit ribosomal RNA
Source: RNAcentral
UUUAGUGGAAGCGUCUGGAAAGGCGCGCGAUACAGGGUGACAGCCCCGUACACAAAAGCGCAUGUGCUGUGAGCUCGAUGAGUAGGGCGGGACACGUGGUAUCCUGUCUGAAUAUGGGGGGACCAUCCUCCAAGGCUAAAUACUCCUGACUGACCGAUAGUGAACCAGUACCGUGAGGGAAAGGCGAAAAGAACCCCGGCGAGGGGAGUGAAAAAGAACCUGAAACCGUGUACGUACAAGCAGUGGGAGCCCCACCACCAAAGCAUUCUCUGGUGUUGAAGGCCCUGCAAAGCAGCAUCGCGGUGGCGGAGCGUCGUUUGCGACGCCCAACACACAAAACAAGCGGUGAGUGCUUUGGGGUGGGGUGACUGCGUACCUUUUGUAUAAUGGGUCAGCGACUUAUAUUCUGUAGCAAGGUUAACCGAAUAGGGGAGCCGGAGGGAAACCGAGUCUUAAUUGGGCGUUAAGUUGCAGGGUAUAGACCCGAAACCCGGUGAUCUAGCCAUGGGCAGGUUGAAGGUUGGGUAACACUAACUGGAGGACCGAACCGACUAAUGUUGAAAAAUUAGCGGAUGACCUGUGGCUGGGGGUGAAAGGCCAAUCAAACCGGGAGAUAGCUGGUUCUCCCCGAAAGCUAUUUAGGUAGCGCCUCGUGAAUUCAUCUCCGGGGGUAGAGCACUGUUUCGGCUAGGGGGCCAUCCCGGCU